GUGUUGUAUGAAAGGAGUGACGGUUUGCAUUCCCCUUGAUAAUGAUGGAAGGGGCCCUAAAAACCUUACAACACACAAAUUGUUAAGGCGUUACCAUCUACUUAGUGGCACCUGACCAUUUUACUUA
This is a small nuclear RNA of Carcharodon carcharias (great white shark), 127 nucleotides long. Lineage: Eukaryota; Metazoa; Chordata; Chondrichthyes; Lamniformes; Lamnidae. The record is from RefSeq and is a predicted model, not a curated record.